This is a long non-coding RNA of Oncorhynchus keta (chum salmon), 406 nucleotides long. RefSeq lists it as uncharacterized. Lineage: Eukaryota; Metazoa; Chordata; Actinopteri; Salmoniformes; Salmonidae. The record is from RefSeq and is a predicted model, not a curated record. The transcript is spliced from 3 exons.
CAACGAUAUGUCUACUGUCCCAUAGCUGUGUUCCCGUUACUGGUAAUCAUGUUACAGCCAAACGAAAACACCCUCUCCGCCCCUUCGCCCCGCACUCUCUUCUACAAUCUCCCCUGAUACACCCUGGAUUGCUGAUGUAUUGUCCAACAGGAGUGCAUCCCUCAGGCCAUCCGGUGCAUGGACAUCCUGUUCCAGUGCGAUGCGAGGGUGACCGUCCAGUUGUAGAGAUGACAGCAGAUCGAGCCUGAGGACGGACAGGGCCUCCCACACCUCUCCAAAGUGGCCCUCCCCCAGCUUCAUGUGCAGUUUAAACUCCUCCCGAGGACGCUCCCAAGGCUCCAUGUCAAACAGCUCUCUCUGAGGACACCACAACACUGUUAGACACACAGAACUCACAGCUACCGAG